GACGAACGCUGGCGGCGUGCCUAAUACAUGCAAGUUGAGCGCUGAAGGUUGGUACUUGUACCAACUGGAUGAGCAGCGAACGGGUGAGUAACGCGUGGGGAAUCUGCCUUUGAGCGGGGGACAACAUUUGGAAACGAAUGCUAAUACCGCAUAAAAACUUUAAACACAAGUUUUAAGUUUGAAAGAUGCAAUUGCAUCACUCAAAGAUGAUCCCGCGUUGUAUUAGCUAGUUGGUGAGGUAGAGGCUCACCAAGGCGAUGAUACAUAGCCGACCUGAGAGGGUGAUCGGCCACAUUGGGACUGAGACACGGCCCAAACUCCUACGGGAGGCAGCAGUAGGGAAUCUUCGGCAAUGGACGAAAGUCUGACCGAGCAACGCCGCGUGAGUGAAGAAGGUUUUCGGAUCGCAAAACUCUGUUGGUAGAGAAGAACGUUGGUGAGAGUGGAAAGCUCAUCAAGUGACGGUAACUACCCAGAAAGGGACGGCUAACUACGUG
RNAcentral lists this ribosomal RNA (497 nucleotides) under uncultured bacterium. RNAcentral's name for it is "partial 16S ribosomal RNA". It matches the Rfam family "Bacterial small subunit ribosomal RNA", at positions 28 to 507 of the family's 1533-position model. The record is from RNAcentral.